RNAcentral lists this ribosomal RNA (238 nucleotides) under uncultured bacterium. Its description in RNAcentral is "partial 16S ribosomal RNA". It matches the Rfam family "Bacterial small subunit ribosomal RNA", at positions 96 to 334 of the family's 1533-position model. The record is from RNAcentral.
CGGCGGACGGGUGAGUAACGCGUGGGUAACCUGCCUCAUACAGGGGGAUAACAGUUGGAAACGGCUGCUAAUACCGCAUAAGCGCACAGUACCGCAUGGUACGGUGUGAAAAACUCCGGUGGUGUGAGAUGGAUCCGCGUCUGAUUAGGUAGUUGGUGAGGUAACGGCCCACCAAGCCGACGAUCAGUAGCCGACCUGAGAGGGUGACCGGCCACAUUGGGACUGAGACACGGCCCAA